Molecule: ribosomal RNA, 869 nt
Filed under: uncultured Flavobacteriales bacterium
Lineage: Bacteria; Pseudomonadati; Bacteroidota; Flavobacteriia; Flavobacteriales
Description: bacterial SSU rRNA
Rfam family: Bacterial small subunit ribosomal RNA
Source: RNAcentral
AGAGUUUGAUCCUGGCUCAGGAUGAACGCUAGCGGCAGGCUUAACACAUGCAAGUCGAGGGGCAGCGGGGUGUAGCAAUACAUCGCCGGCGACCGGCGCACGGGUGCGUAACACGUAUGGAAUCUGCCCUGUACUGGGGAAUAGCCCUCCGAAAGGAGGAUUAAUACCCCGUAAUAGCUUGAGUGGCAUCACUCGGGUUUGAAAGCUCCGGCGGUACAGGAUGACCAUGCGCACGAUUAGCUAGUAGGUGAGGUAACGGCUCACCUAGGCUACGAUCGUUAGGGGGCCUGAGAGGGUUAUCCCCCACACUGGUACUGAGACACGGACCAGACUCCUACGGGAGGCAGCAGUGAGGAAUAUUGCGCAAUGGAGGAAACUCUGACGCAGCCAUGCCGCGUGCAGGAAGACGGCCCUACGGGUUGUAAACUGCUUUUAUCAGGGAAGAAACCCCGGGACGUGUCCCGGGUUGACGGUACCUGAGGAAUAAGCACCGGCUAACUCCGUGCCAGCAGCCGCGGUAAUACGGAGGGUGCAAGCGUUAUCCGGAUUCAUUGGGUUUAAAGGGUGCGUAGGCGGGGUGGUAAGUCAGUGGUGAAAUCCUGCAGCUUAACUGUAGAAUUGCCAUUGAUACUGCCAUUCUUGAGUGCGCUUGAAGUGGGCGGAAUGUGCCGUGUAGCGGUGAAAUGCUUAGAUAUGGCACAGAACACCAAUUGCGAAGGCAGCUCACUAAGGCGAUACUGACGCUGAGGCACGAAAGCGUGGGGAUCGAACAGGAUUAGAUACCCUGGUAGUCCACGCCGUAAACGAUGAUCACUCGUGAUUGGCGAUAUACGGUCAGUCACCUAGCGAAAGCGUUAAGUGAUCCACCU